RNAcentral lists this small RNA (127 nucleotides) under Marmota monax (woodchuck). Lineage: Eukaryota; Metazoa; Chordata; Mammalia; Rodentia; Sciuridae. The record is from RNAcentral.
GCCAGGCUCAGUGGUGCAUGCCUGUAAUCCCAGUGACUCAGGAGGCUGAGGCAGGAGGAUUACAAGUUUGAGGCCAGCCUCAGCAACCUAGGGAGGUCCUAAACAACGUGGUGAGACCCUGUCUCAA